GGUCUCAAUUAGGGGCCAGCAGUGGCCAGGGUUAGGGGUCAAGUGGUAGCCAGGGUAAAGCAAGCUUGUAGUCAAGAUAAAGGGUCAGCUGUGGUUAUGACUGGCUGUUGAUAAGUGGUUGGGGCUAGAGGUCAGAUACUGACAAUGAACAGUUUUCUAUGUAUGAUGCUAACUGCUCUGGAAGCAGCUCACCUUAUCUCGGAGGCAUAAUGAAGAGGCAGGAGCAUUUGUCUGAGAACUAAGAAGACUUGGGUGUUAGCCCUUGUUCUACUCACUUAUUCGCUGGCCCCAGCCAGCCAAGAGAUGUUGACUGAAUAUUGGGGACUGGAGUGGAGAAAGCAAGGUCCCUGGAACUUCCCUUCAGCGCUGCCUUACCCGAACUUUUUGAGGAUAGUCUGAAGCCUGGG
This 407-nucleotide long non-coding RNA is filed under the name Homo sapiens (human). RNAcentral describes it as "non-protein coding lnc-VEGFA-1:1". The record is from RNAcentral. Lineage: Eukaryota; Metazoa; Chordata; Mammalia; Primates; Hominidae.